RNAcentral lists this ribosomal RNA (319 nucleotides) under uncultured Pseudomonas sp. RNAcentral describes it as "bacterial SSU rRNA". It matches the Rfam family "Bacterial small subunit ribosomal RNA", at positions 1062 to 1382 of the family's 1533-position model. Lineage: Bacteria; Pseudomonadati; Pseudomonadota; Gammaproteobacteria; Pseudomonadales; Pseudomonadaceae. The record is from RNAcentral.
GUGUCGUGAGAUGUUGGGUUAAGUCCGUAACGAGCGCAACCCUGUCCUAGUUACCAGCACGUUAUGGUGGGCACUCUAAGGAGACUGCCGGGUGACAACCGGAGGAAGGUGGGGAGUGACGUCAAGUCAUCAUGGCCCUUACGGCCUGGGCUACACACGUGCUACAAUGGUCGGUACAAAGGGUUGCCAAGCCGCGAGGUGGAGCUAAUCCCAUAAAACCGAUCGUAGUCCGGAUCGCAGUCUGCAACUCGACUGCGUGAAGUCGGAAUCGCUAGUAAUCGUGAAUCAGAAUGUCACGGUGAAUACGUUCCCGGGCCUU